GGCGUGGGUCUAACACCGGAUCCUGCCAACCGUGAAGGUUCAUGAGAGAGAGACAGUGGAGAAGAGGGAAGAGGAUGAUGAAAUUCCCCACCGAUCGAGGCUUCUUGUAGCCUCUGAUUGCUGGGAAAGGCGGGCGGUUGUAACCGCCCACCAUCAGGCGUUACGAACGUCUGCACGAUGGUGUAAUGCCCCCCCCCCUCCGUUUCUCUUGGGAGUGGGGCGGUUAUCACAUUCUCCCCUCCUUAUUAAAAUUUCGUCCUCGAAAUUUACAUACCUGCAUUGUCAAAGAGUUGUGGAUGUCUCGCUCGCAUAUCCUCCUCAAGUUCCCAUG
This 331-nucleotide long non-coding RNA is filed under the name Phoenix dactylifera (date palm). RNAcentral's name for it is "long non-coding RNA (PDAC_LNC022795)". The record is from RNAcentral. Lineage: Eukaryota; Viridiplantae; Streptophyta; Magnoliopsida; Arecales; Arecaceae.